CAUCCCCACCGUUAUCUUCUGCAUCCUCCUCCUCGUCAGAAGCUAAUCCUAGGUUCCGUAGACGAAGCACGAUCUUCUCAAUCGCGCUUUGUCCUCUAUCCUUCUCCACAUACCUGAGUUUCGCCUCCGCCGAAGGGAUUUCACCUCCGCCGUUAUGUUCGUUCGAUUUCUUCGCGGCGGAUGACAACGGAGGCCACUUAUCGAUCCAAGGAGGAUUAGGUUUAGAAUUCCGGUGAUCCAAUCGCCGGUUGUUACGGCUCCCGUUGUUGCUGCUACGCUCGCUCGUGCGGAGCGAAGAGAAUGGCCGAAGAACGCGACGCGAGGGCUUCGCCGCGGAGAGUGAAUCAAAUAGCAACGCGUGAAGCGAAGGAGAAGAAUGGUAGCGUGAGGUCGAAGUCAAAGGAAGAGAGCUUCUCAGUGGCAUUUCUGUAAAUUUAGUCGCAACCAAAGCCAUUCAACUGUCUUCACUCUUCUUCACCAUCCCCGUUUGGAUAGACCAUGUGGAUAAGAUUUUUCUACUUCUUCUUCUCGGGUCUCGAAAUGGGCUUAUUUAAUGGGCCUGUAUAAAAGCCCGUUAUACUGUAAACUAUAAAUAAAACUAAAAAACUACGUGGCGGAAGAAAAUUUAAGCAAUCCGGCUAGGGUAAAUCCGGUUUCGUUGUCCUAUCGAGUCACACCGGCAUUGCGUGAUUCGCCGGGAAAUUUUGGCGAGAGAAACUCCGAUCGAUUUCACCAAGUUCCGUUUUUUCUUUCUUAAUUCCUAUCUUCGCGCUUGUGUUCGUGAAACGAAAGAGACAACUUUCGAUGGGUCGACCUCCUAGUAAUGGCAGUCCAGCGUUCCGAUUCAACCUCGCCGAGGUAAUUGAAUCUUUGAUGGAUGUUCUCUUUGCUGUUGCAUGAAGGAGGUUUUCGAUGUUCCUGUGUUGAGACUAGUUUCUGGGUAAUGUUUGGUUUGUUGCUUAGGUUUAGGGUUCGUGAUAGGGUUUUUACUCGAUCAGUUCCAACUUUCCUUUUUGUGAAAGAUCUGUAAUUUAUAUCUGUAUGUGCCUUUUGGGGUUUAGAUUCAUAAGUUUCAUGAUAGGGUUUACUCGAUCUGAUCAUUUCGACUUUCCUUUUGUGAAAGUUUUGUAAUUACUACCAGCAUGUGCCUUUUGGGGUUUAGAUUCAUAAGUGGUUCUGUCUGUUGUGUUUUGUAAGUUCUUUGAAGAAGUUUUUGUUUUUAUCUCGUUUGCUUUGGCUGAUCAUCUUUUUGGUAUAUUAAUCUUCACCCUCAAAUACAUCCCCUCCCCUCUCAGCCGUCUUAGCUCAGAAUCCUCAACCGUAAGCUCCGCCAGUGACGGAGCUCUAACUCUCCUCUUCUUCAACGCCACAACUCCAUCUCCUUCAAUCCUCUCCGCCGCAUGUUCCUCCUCGUUCUUCUUCUCCCAUGGCAAUAACACAUCAUCAUCCUCAACUUCACUCUCUUCUUCUCCCUCAGCAAGGAUCACAUCAGGCUUCACCCACUCUCUCUUCAACAAAUCACCCAAUCUCUCUUCUCCCGUCACCGCCUUCACAUCCCCACCGUUAUCUUCUGCAUCCUCCUCCUCGUCAGAAGCUAAUCCUAGGUUCCGUAGACGAAGCACGAUCUUCUCAAUCGCGCUUUGUCCUCUAUCCUUCUCCACAUACCUGAGUUUCGCCUCCGCCGAAGGGAUUUCACCUCCGCCGUUAUGUUCGUUCGAUUUCUUCGCGGCGGAUGACAACGGAGGCCACUUAUCGAUCCAAGGAGGAUUAGGUUUAGAAUUCCGGUGAUCCAAUCGCCGGUUGUUACGGCUCCCGUUGUUGCUGCUACGCUCGCUCGUGCGGAGCGAAGAGAAUGGCCGAAGAACGCGACGCGAGGGCUUCGCCGCGGAGAGUGA
Molecule: long non-coding RNA, 1895 nt
Filed under: Brassica napus (rape)
Lineage: Eukaryota; Viridiplantae; Streptophyta; Magnoliopsida; Brassicales; Brassicaceae
Description: long non-coding RNA (BNAP_LNC010357)
Source: RNAcentral